Molecule: ribosomal RNA, 254 nt
Filed under: uncultured bacterium
Lineage: Bacteria
Description: partial 16S ribosomal RNA
Rfam family: Bacterial small subunit ribosomal RNA
Source: RNAcentral
GACAGAGGAUGCAAGCGUUAUCCGGAAUCACUGGGCGUAAAGCGUCUGUAGGUGGUUUAAUAAGUCAACUGUUAAAUCUUGAGGCUCAACCUCAAAAUCGCAGUCGAAACUAUUAGGCUAGAGUAUAGUAGGGGUAAAGGGAAUUUCCAGUGGAGCGGUGAAAUGCGUAGAGAUUGGAAAGAACACCCGAUGGCGAAGGCACUUUACUGGGCUAUUACUAACACUCAGAGACGAAAGCUAGGGUAGCAAAUGGG